This 497-nucleotide ribosomal RNA is filed under the name uncultured bacterium. RNAcentral describes it as "partial 16S ribosomal RNA". It matches the Rfam family "Bacterial small subunit ribosomal RNA", at positions 28 to 507 of the family's 1533-position model. The record is from RNAcentral.
GAUGAACGCUGGCGGCGUGCCUAAUACAUGCAAGUCGAGCGAACGGACGAGAAGAUUGCUUCUCUGAUGUUAGCGGCGGACGGGUGAGUAACACGUGGAUAACCUACCUAUAAGACUGGGAUAACUUCGGGAAACCGGAGCUAAUACCGGAUAAUAUUUUGAACCGCAUGGUUCAAAAGUGAAAGACGGUCUUGCUGUCACUUAUAGAUGGAUCCGCGCUGCAUUAGCUAGUUGGUAAGGUAACGGCUUACCAAGGCAACGAUGCAUAGCCGACCUGAGAGGGUGAUCGGCCACACUGGAACUGAGACACGGUCCAGACUCCUACGGGAGGCAGCAGUAGGGAAUCUUCCGCAAUGGGCGAAAGCCUGACGGAGCAACGCCGCGUGAGUGAUGAAGGUCUUCGGAUCGUAAAACUCUGUUAUUAGGGAAGAACAUGUGUGUAAGUAACUGUGCACAUCUUGACGGUACCUAAUCAGAAAGCCACGGCUAACUACGUG